This 106-nucleotide non-coding RNA is filed under the name Thermobifida fusca. Its description in RNAcentral is "TPP sequence". It matches the Rfam family "TPP riboswitch aptamer (THI element)". From Rfam's summary of the family: Vitamin B(1) in its active form thiamin pyrophosphate (TPP) is an essential coenzyme that is synthesised by coupling of pyrimidine and thiazole moieties in bacteria. The previously detected thiamin-regulatory element, thi box was extended, resulting in a new, highly conserved RNA secondary structure, the THI element, which is widely distributed in eubacteria and also occurs in some archaea. The record is from RNAcentral. Lineage: Bacteria; Bacillati; Actinomycetota; Actinomycetes; Streptosporangiales; Nocardiopsidaceae.
ACCAAACGACAGGGGAGCGCCUCUAGCGCUGAGAGUGCGGCACAGCCGCAGACCCUUACUACCUGAUCUGGGUAAUGCCAGCGAAGGAAGUCGUGGGAACCGCCAC